This is a long non-coding RNA of Xenia sp. Carnegie-2017, 110 nucleotides long. RefSeq lists it as uncharacterized. The record is from RefSeq and is a predicted model, not a curated record. NCBI's taxonomy places the organism in Eukaryota, Metazoa, Cnidaria, Anthozoa, Malacalcyonacea, Xeniidae. The transcript has 4 exons.
UGAAAACAUGCUAUUCAAAGAUUUUUCAUUGCAGGAUCCAAAUUAUAGAGCUGUACUUCAAGAAGUCCUGAUGACCCUUCCCAUGGUACUGUGCGUGGAUACAACUGCUU